CCCAAGCAGGUGGGAUGGAAAACAAAAGCAUUACAGGUCCAACGGGCCAUUUCUGAGAGAACAAACAUUCAGGCUGAAAUAAUGCACAUGACUUCACAAUUCAAGGAAGCCCUAAGCAAGCAGCAGAAAAGAUCCUUGAAAAAUAAUAGAGUCACAGAACAGACGUGGCUGGAGAGUUAGAGGUGAACAAUGAGAAAGCAAGAGAGACCACAAAUGCGUUAGUGAAAACAGGACUCAAGUGAGAGCAGAUGGAAUAAAGCCUGACACAUGCUAAUGCAACAGGUUGAAGAACUAAUAAAGAUGUUAAAUACUGCAUUUACCUCCCAGCUCAUCCAGCCUCCUGAUCACCCCCUGGAUGUCCCUCCCCUCACAUACCCCAGCACAUACCUCAGAUGAUAAAAUUAUGGCAGCAGCCCAUCCAUUUAAAUACCUUAACCUAUCAAAUUGCAAACUGAAAUGGAAUUUCAAAAUACCUGACCGGGAGCAG
Mauremys mutica (yellowpond turtle) is the source of this 487-nucleotide long non-coding RNA. RefSeq lists it as uncharacterized. The record is from RefSeq and is a predicted model, not a curated record. Lineage: Eukaryota; Metazoa; Chordata; Testudines; Geoemydidae. The transcript is spliced from 3 exons.